RNAcentral lists this ribosomal RNA (519 nucleotides) under uncultured Bacillota bacterium. RNAcentral's name for it is "bacterial SSU rRNA". It matches the Rfam family "Bacterial small subunit ribosomal RNA", at positions 339 to 874 of the family's 1533-position model. Lineage: Bacteria; Bacillati; Bacillota. The record is from RNAcentral.
UUACGGGAGGCAGCAGUGGGGGAUAUUGCGCAAUGGGGGAAACCCUGACGCAGCAACGCCGCGUGAAGGAUGAAGGUUUUCGGAUCGUAAACUUUUUUAAGUGGGGAAGAUAGUGACGGUACCCACAGAAUAAGCCCCGGCUAAAUACGUGCCCGCAGCCGCGGUAAUACGUAGGUGGCGAGCGUUUUCUGGAUUUACUGGGUGUAAAGGGCGUGUAGGCGGGACUUUAAGUCAGAUGUGAAAUACCCAGGGUUAACCUCGGGGAUGCAUUUGAAACCGGAGUUCUUGAGUGUCGGAGAGGAAAGCGGAAUUCCUAGUGUAGCGGUGAAAUGUGUAGAUAUUUGGAGGAACACCAGUGGGGAAGGCGGCUUUCUGGACGAUAACUGACGCUGAGGCGCGAAAGCGUGGGGAGCAAACAGGAUUAGAUACCCUGGUAGUCCACGCCGUAAACGAUGGAUACUAGGUGUAGGAGGUAUCGACCCCUUCUGUGCCGGAGUUAACACAAUAAGUAUCCCACCU